Long non-coding RNA from Mauremys reevesii (Reeves's turtle), 1406 nucleotides. RefSeq lists it as uncharacterized. The record is from RefSeq and is a predicted model, not a curated record. Lineage: Eukaryota; Metazoa; Chordata; Testudines; Geoemydidae. The transcript is spliced from 7 exons.
UACACUGGCAGCUGAUUGGUCCAUUCCUCUACACCAACAGCUGCAGGCUCCAGCUCCAGCUCCCAGCUCCCAGCUAGGGGGUCCCCCUGGGAGGGCUGUUGCUGCUUCCUAGGCUUGUACCAGCUGCCCAUCCAUCCUGACAGGGAGCAACACUAUCCCCCACCUCCAUUAGACCUCGUGCAACCACCUAUCCAGCUUAGUCACCACCACCCCAGUCAUCCAUGCGGCAAACCCAUCUCCGGGACAGGGAGAGAAGAGGCUCAAGAAGCCGCCCAGGGCAGAAAACACCGUACAGGCUGCGUGAGUGGAAAUUCAGAAGUGUCCUCAGCGUUCUCAAGAGGAAUUAGCUGUGUGUAGUGCAAAUGUUAUAUCUGGUGCAGACUGAUCCCAGUUGUUAUGUUUGCCAUUGACGCAUGCCCUAAUGACUGCCUUCAAUGUGUGUUUUACACGUACAGGAGAAUUCGUUUGGAAUGAUAAGCUGUGAUUAACUGCAUGGAGGAUCUCACCAUAUGUCCCAUCCUGUAUGGACUGAGAGGACAUCAGCUAUCUUCAUGGAACUCUUUUCAUCUGGCUCAGAUCCUGUAGAGUGACAACUGCACAUUGCCACAUUCUGCAUGUGUAAUACAGUUUACAAAUGAGAUGAGAAGAGGUGAACUGUCUGAGGUUGUAAUAAUAGGAUGCAAGACAAGAAUGAUGUGCCUGUAAAUUAGUCUUCAGGAAGAGAGAGAGGGAGUCAUGACCCUUGCUCCCAAACAAGUCAAGGAGAACUGGCAAAUGCCUUUCAGAUCAUGUUUUAAAACCUUCUACAUCUGGUGCACAGAAUGAGGCAGCGGCUUUGGUAGUGGAUAGCAAGAGGCAAAGGUCAAACCAGAGGCUGCACAAAUAUUGUGCGCUGGAUUUAUUGUUUUAAUUAAGAGUGUGGCAGUUCAUCAUAAACUGUUUAUGGUGUUUUUGCACAGUGCAGCAUUUUGAAAUCAGCUGUUUUAAUGAAAACAUAAUGUCAUAUCUGUCAAAGUUCUAAAUAUUUUGAAAGUGAAAUAUGGAAACAAGAACUUUAAUUCUGGGUUUACUGGGAUUAGCUCACUGAAUUGUUUUUUAAAUCCCUUAAGAGAGUCAUGUCAUGGGUACUGUAUGGUUCCAUGAUGGGGUAGGAGGCUGGGAAACAGGAGGUACUGUAGCUUGUUAUUUAAUAGCAAAAAUACAUGCUGAGGGCUAAUGUAUUGAAAAACGCUGCUGCUGCUGCUGUUGUUGUUGUUGUUUGUGUUGAAAUGCUAGAUUAAAGAAGCAAUCAGAGAUAAGGUACUUCCUCCAUAAUAAGCAGUAUGUAAACUGUGAGUCCUCCAUUGUGCUAAAAAAUAAAACUGAAUGAGUUCUUGAAACUGGAAAUAAAUAUAUCUGCAGUAGUU